UUCCUUGUAGUGCAAUGGAUAGCGUGUUGAACUACUAAUCCAAAGGUCGUGGAUUCGAAUCCCACCUGGGAUG
Molecule: transfer RNA, 73 nt
Filed under: Trichonephila inaurata madagascariensis
Lineage: Eukaryota; Metazoa; Arthropoda; Arachnida; Araneae; Nephilidae
Rfam family: tRNA
About the family: Transfer RNA (tRNA) molecules are approximately 80 nucleotides in length. Their secondary structure includes four short double-helical elements and three loops (D, anti-codon, and T loops).
Source: Rfam by way of RNAcentral